RNAcentral lists this ribosomal RNA (1258 nucleotides) under Candidatus Phytoplasma trifolii. RNAcentral describes it as "bacterial SSU rRNA". It matches the Rfam family "Bacterial small subunit ribosomal RNA", at positions 149 to 1403 of the family's 1533-position model. The record is from RNAcentral. Lineage: Bacteria; Bacillati; Mycoplasmatota; Mollicutes; Acholeplasmatales; Acholeplasmataceae.
GAUUGAAACGACUGCUAAGACUGGAUAGGAAACAAAAAGGCAUCUUUUUGUUUUUAAAAGACCUUCUUACGAAGGUAUGCUUAAAGAGGGGCUUGCGCCACAUUAGUUAGUUGGUAGGGUAAAAGCCUACCAAGACGAUGAUGUGUAGCUGGACUGAGAGGUUGAACAGCCACAUUGGGACUGAGACACGGCCCAAACUCCUACGGGAGGCAGCAGUAGGGAAUUUUCGGCAAUGGAGGAAACUCUGACCGAGCAACGCCGCGUGAACGAUGAAGUAUUUCGGUAUGUAAAGUUCUUUUAUUGAAGAAGAAAAAGUAGUGGAAGAACUAUAUUGACGUUAUUCAAUGAAUAAGCCCCGGCUGACUAUGUGCCAGCAGCCGCGGUAAGACAUAGGGGGCGAGCGUUAUCCGGAAUUAUUGGGCGUAAAGGGUGCGUAGGCUGUUAGAUAAGUCUAUAAUUUAAUUUCAGUGCUUAACGCUGUCUUGUUAUAGAAACUGUCUUGACUAGAGUGAGAUAGAGGCAAGCGGAAUUCCAUGUGUAGCGGUAAAAUGUGUAAAUAUAUGGAGGAACACCAGAAGCGUAGGCGGCUUGCUGGGUCUUUACUGACGCUGAGGCACGAAAGCGUGGGUAGCAAACAGGAUUAGAUACCCUGGUAGUCUACGCCGUAAACGAUGAGUACUAAGUGUUGGGGUAAAACUCGGUACUGAAGUUAACACAUUAAGUACUCCGCCUGAGUAGUACGUACGCAAGUAUGAAACUUAAAGGAAUUGACGGGACUCCGCACAAGCGGUGGAUCAUGUUGUUUAAUUCGAAGAUACACGAAAAAUCUUACCAGGUCUUGACAUACUCUGCAAAGCUAUAGAAAUAUAGUGGAGGUUAUCAGGGAUACAGGUGGUGCAUGGUUGUCGUCAGUUCGUGUCGUGAGAUGUUAGGUUAAGUCCUAAAACGAGCGCAACCCUUGUCGUUAAUUGCCAGCACGUAAUGGUGGGGACUUUAGCGAGGCUGCCAAUUAAACAUUGGAGGAAGGUGAGGAUUACGUCAAAUCAUCAUGCCCCUUAUGAUCUGGGCUACAAACGUGAUACAAUGGCUGUGACAAAGAGUAGCUGAAACGCGAGUUUUUAGCCAAUCUCAAAAAAGCAGUCUCAGUUCGGAUUGAAGUCUGUAACUCGACUUCAUGAAGUUGGAAUCGCUAGUAAUCGCGAAUCAGCAUGUCGCGGUGAAUACGUUCUCGGGGUUUGUACACACCGCCCGUCAAAUC